Molecule: ribosomal RNA, 253 nt
Filed under: uncultured bacterium
Lineage: Bacteria
Description: partial 16S ribosomal RNA
Rfam family: Bacterial small subunit ribosomal RNA
Source: RNAcentral
UACGGAAGGGGCAAGCGUUGUUCGGAAUCAUUGGGCGUAAAGAGCUCGUAGGUGGUUUGUCGCGUUGUCCGUGAAAACUCACAGCUUAACUGUGGGCGUGCGGGCGAUACGGGCAGACUGGAGUACUGCAGGGGAGACUGGAAUUCCUGGUGUAGCGGUGGAAUGCGCAGAUAUCAGGAGGAACACCGGUGGCGAAGGCGGGUCUCUGGGCAGUAACUGACGCUGAGGAGCGAAAGCGUGGGGAGCGAACAGG